RNAcentral lists this ribosomal RNA (466 nucleotides) under uncultured bacterium. RNAcentral's name for it is "partial 16S ribosomal RNA". It matches the Rfam family "Bacterial small subunit ribosomal RNA", at positions 28 to 507 of the family's 1533-position model. The record is from RNAcentral.
GAUGAACGCUGGCGGCGUGCUUAACACAUGCAAGUCGAACGGAAAGGCCCAAGCUUGCUUGGGUACUCGAGUGGCGAACGGGUGAGUAACACGUGGGUGAUCUGCCCUGCACUUCGGGAUAAGCCUGGGAGACUGGGUCUAAUACCGGAUAGGACCACAUUUUGGAUGGUGUGGUGGAAAGUUUUUCGGUGUGGGAUGAGCUCGCGGCCUAUCAGCUUGUUGGUGGGGUAAUGGCCUACCAAGGCGUCGACGGGUAGCCGGCCUGAGAGGGUGUACGGCCACAUUGGGACUGAGAUACGGCCCAGACUCCUACGGGAGGCAGCGGUGGGGAAUAUUGCACAAUGGGCGCAAGCCUGAUGCAGCGACGCCGCGUGGGGGAUGACGGCCUUCGGGUUGUAAACUCCUUUCGCUAGGGACGAAGCGUUAUGUGACGGUACCUGGAGAAGAAGCACCGGCUAACUACGUG